RNAcentral lists this ribosomal RNA (370 nucleotides) under uncultured bacterium. Its description in RNAcentral is "bacterial SSU rRNA". It matches the Rfam family "Bacterial small subunit ribosomal RNA", at positions 525 to 896 of the family's 1533-position model. The record is from RNAcentral.
ACGGAGGGUGCAAGCGUUAUCCGGAAUCACUGGGUUUAAAGGGUGCGUAGGCGGCUUGAUAAGUCAGGGGUGAAAGCUUCCCGCUCAACGGGAGAACUGCCUUUGAUACUGUCAGGCUCGAAUUGGGUUGAGGCAGGCGGAAUGUGGCAUGUAGCGGUGAAAUGCUUAGAUAUGCCAUAGAACACCGAUUGCGAAGGCAGCCUGCCAAGCCUUGAUUGACGCUGAGGCACGAAAGCGUGGGGAGCGAACAGGAUUAGAUACCCUGGUAGUCCACGCCCUAAACGAUGUUUACUCGACGUCCGGGCCCUGAGUCCGUGCGUCCAAGCGAAAGCGUUAAGUAAACCACCUGGGGAGUACGUUCGCAAGAAUG